RNAcentral lists this transfer RNA (68 nucleotides) under Promirotermes pygmaeus. RNAcentral's name for it is "tRNA-Phe". Lineage: Eukaryota; Metazoa; Arthropoda; Insecta; Blattodea; Termitidae. The record is from RNAcentral.
ACUUGAAUAGCUUAUGGUUUAGAGCGCGACACUGAAGAUGUCGAUGAGGCAUUUUAUGUCUUUGGGUA